AUUCCUUCGCGCACCCUAUCCCCAUCUCAUUUCUCCCUCGCCCAUCCGCUGGCCGCCGCCACCCCCCUGUUCUUGCCCCGCGCUGUCAUCCUCACAGAGUCACAAACUCCUCCCCACCUGCGCCGCAGCCGUCGCUGCCGCCACCGGCAAGGUCGCGUCCCCCCACCUACGCUGUGGACUCGAGUGUCUCUCCGCCCUAGCCCCACGCAGCAGCGCCUCCACCAGCAGCAGAAGUCGCAGUGCAUCUCCACCAGCGUGGGUGCCCAGAUCCACAUCUGAGAACGUCGCCGCCGUGCAUCCCGUAGACAAGGCACAAGCAAAGGGGGAGGCGGUGGUUCACUGUCGGACCAACCCGAUGCCAUUACUGCUCCGGCCUGUCACAUCCCACCAUGGCCCCCGCAUCUAUGAUCCACUCAAGGGCCGAGCUCGUCUGUCUAGGCCACACUGUGUUAGUGCUGCUAAGCCCUCUGACAUGGCCUCGGCGUGUCGUCUCCAGAUCUGCAUGGCGUUAGUGCUGCUGGUCCCAUUCAAAGUUGUUUGAAAAAUUGGAGCCAACAUCUUCCGAAGGAAGAGUUCAGAAUAGAAAGAAAAACUGAAUGAGGCAACAAAUACUUGUGAAACACCAAGCGAGCAGGUUCAGAAACAGGGCAUUUGAGUUGAUUGUGUUAUAGAUUAAUUCUCAUCAGGUUCCACAGAAGAUUCUGAUCAAGGAGCCGGAGUUCUACAAGUGGGAGGGGAAUAUUUCUGAGUAGAGAACGUCUACAAGCUUAAACCUGCAGGCAACAAAUGCUUCUGCAACACCAUAUGUUUGAGAAAUUGGAGCCAGCAUCUGCUGAAGGAAAAGUUCAUAACAAUAAAAAACUGGAUUGCUCUACCUAAGGUCAUUGGGUCACUCCAUGCUGUUCAGUGAUAUCAACUCCAAACAAGGACUUUUAUUUUGUGCAGUCCACAUGUUUCUAUCCAACUCUAUUUAGGAGCCGGACUUGUUGUGUAGUAAGGACUUGCAUGCUGCUCUGAACCAAUAGUGUAGAGCUCUGUAUUCCUAUCUUACUAAUCUAUACGAUCUAUAUAUUUGGAUAUGGGACAUGUGAGUUUGUAAUGAAUUACUAAUUUGACAGAUCACUUUGUGCUAGCUUGUGUAACGUGGCUUGUGAGUGGAUGUAUGAACAUCUAGAAUUGAUGGAUCAAAUGGACAGUAGAUCAUUUGAUUAUUAUAAU
Long non-coding RNA from Sorghum bicolor (sorghum), 1218 nucleotides. RefSeq lists it as uncharacterized. The transcript has 6 exons. Lineage: Eukaryota; Viridiplantae; Streptophyta; Magnoliopsida; Poales; Poaceae. The record is from RefSeq and is a predicted model, not a curated record.